ACUGUGUGUGUCCAGUUGUGAUUGGAAUACAUUGUAGAAACUCAAGUAAAUAUCUUCUAAUGACUCAAUGAAUUGAUUUAUUUGGGAUGCUUUAUAAAAAGUAUAACUUUUUCCUAAUGCAGAAUGUCCUAGUAGAAAUAAAAAAAUACAGGAUAUCAAUAAUUCAUAGCAUUCCCAAGGAAGGAUACAAGUAAUCGUAUUAAGUAAAAUGAUAAAAUAAUACAAGUCUUAAUGUUGAUGCCCAACAUCAAGCCAUUUUUAAGAAUCACAAGCAGUGCAGCAGUAUUAUUGCUGAUGCUUUAAAGCUGAGCCAUUUUUUCUUAGAUAUUUAUAGGAUGGCUUUGUAGGUAAAAUACAGGAGUAAAUACCUGUGCUAGGUUGUUUUAUUGUGCAGUUAUUCAUUCUUCCUUUCCUGUAAGAAAAUUAUACAUUGUUGCUCAUUGACAUCAGGCUUAAGGGGCCCCUUAUGGACAGAAUAUAUAUUCUCUGCUCUAUUGAUGUUUGACCUGACCACGUGAUGUGCUUUAGUCAAUGGAAUAAAUGUAGGCAUGAUGUAUACUGUUUUUGAGAAGAAACUUUAAAAGGUACUAAUGAAAUUUCUUUGCCUGUUUGUUUCUGCUUUCUGUAUGGGUCCUGGAAUAAAAAUAUAUGGAUGAGGAUUGCAGCUGACUUCAGCCUACGUGCAGUUUGAAUAUUAAAUUCCAUACCACUUCAGGAGGCACACGUUAUCUUCUGUGGCCUGACUCCUACCAUAUCAGUGUACUCUCAACCAGAAAACUGUUACAGAAGAUGUCCGAGCAUAUGGAAAAGAAACUUGAACAUGGAACAAGGAGACACGGGUUCAGCCUCUGGGCAAGUAAGUCUUAAUCUUGUUAUUUUAAUACCAUAUAUUGAAUGCUUUCUGUGCUGAGAGUGUUGUAUACAUUCAUUUAAUCCUCACACUAACUGUAUGAUGCAGGCCAUCUUAUCUUUAACUACCUUCCUGUCUAUCUACCUAUAUAGUUAAUAAUCCUAGUUGACAAAACUGAGACUCAAGAAGUUUACGAAAUGUAAAUUCC
This 1058-nucleotide long non-coding RNA is filed under the name Pan troglodytes (chimpanzee). RNAcentral describes it as "lncRNA (ENSPTRG00000053549.1)". The record is from RNAcentral. Lineage: Eukaryota; Metazoa; Chordata; Mammalia; Primates; Hominidae.